This 118-nucleotide ribosomal RNA is filed under the name Salmo salar (Atlantic salmon). The record is from RNAcentral. Lineage: Eukaryota; Metazoa; Chordata; Actinopteri; Salmoniformes; Salmonidae.
GCUUACGGCCAUACCAGCCUGGGUACGCCCGAUCUCGUCUGAUCUCGGAAGCGAAGCAGGGUCGGGCCUGGUUAGUACUUGGAUGGGAGACCGCCGGGAAUACCAGGUGCUGUAAGGA